GAUUAACGCUGGCGGCGUGCAUAACACAUGCAAGUCGAACGAUGAAACUUUAAUGAACCCUUCGGGGAGAAUUAAAGCGGAUUAGUGGCGAACGGGUGAGUAACGCGUGAGUAACCUGCCUUACACAAGGGGAUAGCCUUUGGAAACGAAGAAUAAUACCCUAUAAAACCAUAAAAGCACAUGCAAUUAUGGUCAAAGUGAUAGCGGUGUAAGAUGGACUUGCGUCUGAUUAGCUAGUUGGUGAGAUAAAAGCCCACCAAGGCAACGAUCAGUAGCCGGCUUGAGAGAGUGUACGGCCACAUUGGGACUGAGACACGGCCCAGACUCCUACGGGAGGCAGCAGUGGGGAAGUUUGCACAAUGGGGGAAACCCUGAUGCAGCGACGCCGCGUGAUUGAGAAGGCCUUCGGGUUGUAAAAAUCUUUUGUAUAGGAAGAAAAUGACAGUACUAUACGAAUAAGGUCCGGCUAAUUACGUG
This 477-nucleotide ribosomal RNA is filed under the name uncultured bacterium. Its description in RNAcentral is "partial 16S ribosomal RNA". It matches the Rfam family "Bacterial small subunit ribosomal RNA", at positions 28 to 507 of the family's 1533-position model. The record is from RNAcentral.